GAUGAACGCUAGCGGCAGGCCUAACACAUGCAAGUCGAGCGCGAAAGUUCUUCGGAAUGAGUAAAGCGGCGGACGGGUGAGUAAUACAUGGGAAUCUGCCUGGUAGUGGGGGACAACGUUUCGAAAGGAACGCUAAUACCGCAUACGCCCUACGGGGGAAAGGGGGGAUCGCAAGACCUCUCGCUAUCAGAUGAGCCCAU
Molecule: ribosomal RNA, 200 nt
Filed under: uncultured bacterium
Lineage: Bacteria
Description: partial 16S ribosomal RNA
Rfam family: Bacterial small subunit ribosomal RNA
Source: RNAcentral